UGGGGAAUAUUGCGCAAUGGGCGAAAGCCUGACGCAGCAACGCCGCGUGAGUGAUGAAGGCCUUCGGGUUGUAAAGCUCUUUCGGCGGGGACGAAACGGUUCGUGACAACACCACGGACUAAUGACGGUACCCGCAUAAGAAGCACCGGCUAACUACGUGCCAGCAGCCGCGGUAAUACGUAGGGUGCAGGCGUUAAUCGGAAUUACUGGGCGUAAAGCGUGCGCAGGCGGUUUGUUAAGACAGGUGUGAAAUCCCCGGGCUUAACCUGGGAAUUGCGCUUGUAACUGGCAGGCUAGAGUGUGGCAGAGGGGGGUGGAAUUCCACGUGUAGCAGUGAAAUGCGUAGAUAUGUGGAGGAACACCGAUGGCGAAGGCAGCCCCCUGGGUUAACACUGACGCUCAUGCACGAAAGCGUGGGGAGCAAACAGGAUUAGAUACCCCAGUAGUCCCUGAGCGGGCUGGCAAGGCGCAU
This 472-nucleotide ribosomal RNA is filed under the name uncultured bacterium. Its description in RNAcentral is "bacterial SSU rRNA". It matches the Rfam family "Bacterial small subunit ribosomal RNA", at positions 355 to 825 of the family's 1533-position model. The record is from RNAcentral.